Molecule: unclassified non-coding RNA, 2002 nt
Filed under: Hevea brasiliensis (rubber tree)
Lineage: Eukaryota; Viridiplantae; Streptophyta; Magnoliopsida; Malpighiales; Euphorbiaceae
Source: RNAcentral
CUCUGUCAUAUGUACAUAUAUAAUGAAGAGGAUAGAGGUAUAUUAUAUUGUUGAGCAGUAAAAUUAGCCAUGGAAACUAAAGGUCCUUUCAUACUCCUCUGCCUCCUAGCUACGUCCUGCAGCUUGGUAACUUGCAGCUAUGGUGCAAAACCUAACCGUUUGAUGCCUUUUAAUCGAAGCAGUUUUCCUGAAGAUUUCAUAUUUGGAGCUGGGUCUUCUGCUUACCAAACAGAAGGAGCAGCACUUAUAGAUGGCAAGGGGCCAAGUAUAUGGGAUAUUUUUGUUAAGGAACAUCCAGAAAAAAUUGUGGAUCGGAGCACUGGAGACGUAGCUGAUGAUUUUUAUCACCAUUACAAGGAAGACAUAAAAUUGAUGAAAAAGAUUGGUUUGGACUCCUUCAGAUUUUCCAUCUCUUGGAGCAGAGUAUUACCAAAAGGGAAAAUUAGUGGGGGAGUGAACCCACUUGGUGUUAAAUUCUACAAUGACCUCAUCAACUUGCUUCUAGCCAAUGGUAUAAAGCCCUUUGUAACUUUAUUCCAUUUCGAUACCCCACAAGCUCUUGAAGAUGACUAUGAAGGAUUUCUAAGCCCCAAGAUUUUGUAUGACUAUCUAGAUUAUGCGGACUUCUGCUUCAAAACAUUUGGUGAUCGAGUAAAAUUCUGGGUGACUUUUAAUCAACCAAAUAUAUUUGCCACUAAUGCAUACAACAGUGGUACCUUUGCACCUGGUCGAUGCUCCAAAUAUGCUGGAAAUUGCACUGCAGGAAACUCUGCCACUGAACCUUACAUUGCCGUCCACCACCAACUUCUUUGUCAUGCAGCUGCAGUGAAAUUGUACAGGGAGAGAUACAAGGCUGUUCAAAAGGGACAAAUUGGGAUUACAACCGUAACCCACUGGUUUACACCCAAAUACAAUACAACUUCCAGCAAAAGGGCUGCUUAUAGGGGUUUAGAUUUCUUCUUUGGAUGGGUUGCAGAUCCAAUUACAUUUGGUGACUAUCCCCAGAGCAUGAAGGAAUUUGCUGGAAAUAGACUGCCCAAAUUCACCAAAGAGCAAUCCAAUAUGCUAAAAGGGUCUUAUGAUUUUCUUGGCCUAAAUUACUACACCACAUUUUAUGCAGAAAGUGCUCAUUUGACUAACAGAGUCAAUCUUAGUUAUGUUGAUGACAGGCACCUCAAAAUGACUUGUAUGCUCCAAAUUCUAACCAAUUUCCUCUUAUCUUUCUUAGUUCAAUAAUAUUAGAGUUGUAUUCAUGACUAUAAAAUCUCCAAUUCGAAUUUAUGUCAGGUCAAAUAUACCAAAAACAUAUUUUCUUUAUAAUUAAUUCACAUUGUGAUUAAUUAAAAUAUGUUUUGCAUUUUUUUUUUCUCACAGCUGAAAAGCAUGGCAAGCCCAUUGGCACACCGACUGCUUUGGACUGGCUUUACAUUUAUCCCAAGGGAUUGCAAGAGCUUCUAGUCUAUAUAAAGGAAAAUUACAACGAUCCAAUUAUUUCUAUUAAUGAGAAUGGUAAAACAAAUUUUCUAUUUUAAGAAAUCUAGAUAAUUAGCACAAAAAUAUACAUUUAAUUAUAGCUAUUUUAUUCAGGAAUGCCUGAUAGUGACUCCUUGCUACUCAAAGUUGCCCUUAAGGAUGGCAUGAGAAUAAGAUACCAUAGUAGCCACCUAUCCUCUAUUUUAAAGGCUAUCAAGUGAGUAUUUUCAAUGAUUAAUUUAAUCUAACAUAAUUGAUUAAGGAUAUUUGAUGAAGAAAAUUAAUGAUUAUAAUGGAAUUUGGCAGGGUGGGUGUCAAAGUGAAGGCAUACUAUGUGUGGGCAUUUCAUGAUAAUUUUGAAUGGGGUCAUGGUUACACUGUCCGAUUUGGCAUCGUUUAUGUUGAUUAUAAGAAUAAUCAGAAACGUUAUCUCAAAUACUCUGCUUAUUGGUUUAAAAAAUUCCUCCUAAAUUAACAUUUAACCUAGCUAAUCCUAUGACUAAGCUGCAACUAAAUAAAUAGAAAAUCA